Molecule: long non-coding RNA, 242 nt
Organism: Thalassophryne amazonica
Lineage: Eukaryota; Metazoa; Chordata; Actinopteri; Batrachoidiformes; Batrachoididae
Exons: 3
Source: RefSeq, a predicted model, not a curated record
GUUGUGGGUCCGUUGGGAUAAUGUCUUAUUGUGAUGUUGUGCUACCUUUUUCAUGACUUCUUCAGAACUAUUUAAGUACUGUCCAAUACUUAUUAUGAAUGUUAAUGUGUCUGUUCAGGUCGCUCUUUCGUCGAAAUCUUCGAUCACAUUCAGAACAGCCAAAUUGUUUUUGUCCUGUGUGAAUUAUCAUGUGUUCAUUCAGGCCACUCUUUUGACCAAAUCUUCGACCACAUUCAGAACAG